RNAcentral lists this non-coding RNA (28 nucleotides) under Rattus norvegicus (Norway rat). Lineage: Eukaryota; Metazoa; Chordata; Mammalia; Rodentia; Muridae. The record is from RNAcentral.
UGGUCUUCUCAUCUUGAAUCUAGGAUUA